Molecule: long non-coding RNA, 247 nt
Filed under: Homo sapiens (human)
Lineage: Eukaryota; Metazoa; Chordata; Mammalia; Primates; Hominidae
Description: non-protein coding lnc-CSTF1-1:1
Source: RNAcentral
UCCAGAUGGUUUUUCUGAAAUUUCAUUAAGGUAGGUCAGCGUCAUUUGUCUCUGUUUAGGUAAAAUAUAAAAACCCUGCCCAGUAGCAGUGGCAUCGCUUGGUUCCUGAUGCCCAUGUUCCAGAGGAAUUCGGAUACCACAAACAGCUAAGACAAUCUCAGCUUUUCUUAGACAAUCUUCUAUCUCAAACUUCAGACAUUCCAGAAUUGUCAUGAUGUUUACACUGUCUGAGUUAAAAAUCCUGUUC